Molecule: ribosomal RNA, 465 nt
Filed under: Vreelandella stevensii
Lineage: Bacteria; Pseudomonadati; Pseudomonadota; Gammaproteobacteria; Oceanospirillales; Halomonadaceae
Description: partial 16S ribosomal RNA
Rfam family: Bacterial small subunit ribosomal RNA
Source: RNAcentral
CCUACGGGGUGCUGCAGUGGGGAAUAUUGGACAAUGGGCGAAAGCCUGAUCCAGCCAUGCCGCGUGUGUGAAGAAGGCCUUCGGGUUGUAAAGCACUUUCAGUGGGGAAGAAAGCCUUGGGGCUAAUACCCUCGAGGAAGGACAUCACCCACAGAAGAAGCACCGGCUAACUCCGUGCCAGCAGCCGCGGUAAUACGGAGGGUGCGAGCGUUAAUCGGAAUUACUGGGCGUAAAGCGCGCGUAGGCGGUCUGAUAAGCCGGUUGUGAAAGCCCCGGGCUCAACCUGGGAACGGCAUCCGGAACUGUCAGGCUAGAGUGCAGGAGAGGAAGGUAGAAUUCCCGGUGUAGCGGUGAAAUGCGUAGAGAUCGGGAGGAAUACCAGUGGCGAAGGCGGCCUUCUGGACUGACACUGACGCUGAGGUGCAAAAGCGUGGGUAGCAAACAGGAUUAGAUACCCCUGUAGUC